GGACAAGCACGGCGCGUCGCUGCCGGCCAACUUCAAGAAGAUGCUCUCCAUCCAGCUCCGCGGAUUCGCCGCCAAGGGCAAGCUCGUGAAGGUCAAGGCCUCGUACAAGCUCUCCGACGCCGCCAAGAAGGCCGCCCCCAAGCCGAAGGCCAAGCUCGCCGCCGCCAAGACCGCUGCGCCCAAGCCGACCAAGAAGGACGCCGCCAAGCCCAAGAAGACUGCCGCCGCAGCCAAGCCCAAGAAGGCCGCCGCGGGGACCAAGCGCAAGGCG
This 271-nucleotide long non-coding RNA is filed under the name Sorghum bicolor (sorghum). RNAcentral's name for it is "long non-coding RNA (SBIC_LNC011375)". Lineage: Eukaryota; Viridiplantae; Streptophyta; Magnoliopsida; Poales; Poaceae. The record is from RNAcentral.